AGUGAACGCUGGCGGUAGGCCUAACACAUGCAAGUCGAACGGCAGCACAGUAAGAGCUUGCUCUUACGGGUGGCGAGUGGCGGACGGGUGAGGAAUACAUCGGAAUCUACUUUUUCGUGGGGGAUAACGUAGGGAAACUUACGCUAAUACCGCAUACGACCUACGGGUGAAAGCAGGGGAUCUUCGGACCUUGCGCGAUUGAAUGGGCCGAUGUCGGAUUAGCUAGUUGGCGGGGUAAAGGCCCACCAAGGCGACGAUCCGUAGCUGGUCUGAGAGGAUGGUCAGCCACACUAGAACGGAGGCACGGCCCAGCCGCCUACGGGAGGAAGCAGUGGGGAAUAUUGGACAAUGGGGGCAAGACUGAUCCAGCCAUACCGCGUGGGUGAAGAAGGCCUUCGGGUUGUAAAGACCUUUUGUUGGGAAAGAAAAGCAGCAGGUUAAUACCCCGCUGUUCUGACGGUACCCAAAGAAGAAGCACCGGCUAACUUCGUG
RNAcentral lists this ribosomal RNA (492 nucleotides) under uncultured bacterium. RNAcentral's name for it is "partial 16S ribosomal RNA". It matches the Rfam family "Bacterial small subunit ribosomal RNA", at positions 29 to 507 of the family's 1533-position model. The record is from RNAcentral.